UUAAAUAAGUUCAUUUGAUUAAGCCCCGCAGCAGAAUUCAUUCUUUGAGACGCUUUCUCCCUUUGAGACGCUUCCGGCAUAUGACCAAACAAAUUCAUUGCCAUUUUCGCUCUAUUACUUAGAGUUGUUUAUACGAAACCUUAGCCUUCGGUCGACGACGCCUCCGCCUCUGGCCAACGACGCCUCCGCCUUCGGUUGACGACGCCUCCACCUCCGGUCUCCAGUCGACGAGACUGACGAAGUCUCCUACUCCGGCCUACAGCCGCUUCUGCCUCCUUCUUUCACGUUGUUUACAGCUGUGAGAGCUGCAGUAUCAGCAUUUCGUAGGGAAGAAGAAUCACAAGUUCACCAUUCAUCUAAAAGAAGAAGAGAGAGAUCAGAUCAGGACAGGGUUAAUUAUGAUGAUUCAAUGUUCAUGGAGACACCACGAGGCAAAGGUCUUCAAUUCCCAUUUUUUGUUGCUGAUCGUGUUAUUAUAAAGUCCAAUAUCUCUCAUUAGCUAAGGUUUCUGAUACUUCAUCAUCACAGCAAACUUCAAGUCUGAGGUUAUACAUUGGAAAUUUACCAUCACAUAUGGAUGAGGUACUAGUGCAAACAACCAAGAGCAGGAGGAUCCGUAUGGUAGAAAGAAAAACCAGAAAAAGAAGUGUUGAUAAACCCAAAACGAAACAUCUUGAAGCAAGGCAUACAAUGGACAGUAAAGAAAAGAAAAAGAGAAGUGUGACAUUGAUCAGAGAUCAUUCCAAAGAAUAUCUAUCAAAUUUAACAGUUGAGUUUGAUCAAUUCGAUAGAGCUAUUGGACCUAACCGCUUUAAGUUCACCAGUUAUCAUGGAGUGACUACGAGGAAGAUGAUUUCUAUCCUUAUAGAUAGUUGGGAUUUAGUGGAUCAAUGUGACAAGGAUCAAUUGUGGUUGAACAUAAAGAAUUAUUGGCAUAUACGAGAUGAUAAUCAUAAAGCACAAGUACUUAGAGAUUGCAACACGCAAUGGAAGGCCUACAAGUCGGCGCUUCUUAAGUUGUGGGAAAAAGGUGUCAAUCCAGUAAAAGAAUACCCGUACCUUGACAAAGCAAUGUGGAAAAAGUUUAUUGUUCUAAAAUCCACGGAAGAAUUUGAGGUUGAACAUCAUCAAUUCCAAUUGAGAAUCUACCGAGCACUGCAUCAAAAUAAUCUCAUCAUACAUUUUCACCAAACAUCUAUUCAGAGCUCACAACUUCUCCUAUAGCAGCAGCCUCACUUGGGAAGGUGUAUAAGGGUAGAUUAAAGGAAAAUGGGGAUUUGGUUGCUGUUAAGGUACAAAGGCCUUAUGUACUUGAAAUAGUAACUGUUGAUUUAUUCAUCAUAAGGAACUUAGGAUUGGCUCUUCGACGUUUUCCUCAGGACCAAAAGAUUCAGAGACUAUUCCAAUCUCAUACGUAUAUAAUCGUUUUAGUGCAAUCAACAAUUGUCCGAUUGGGAGUGUGGUUACUACGUUAUGAACUGGAUGCAUGAGUUUGUACUUUUUCGACAACAUGGAUUUCCGAAUAACAUUUGGAAGGACAAAAAACCAUUUUCUAGUGAGGAAUUGGACGAACGAAUUAAAACAUGGCUGAGAACUUUUGGAGAUAAAGUGAAGUCUUUUUCAAGUUAACGGUUAGUUGUUCUAUAUACAUUGUUAUAAUUGGUUAUGUUUUUCAAAAAACCAUUUUCUAGUGAGGAAUUGGACGAAAGUUUUUUUUAUGGAAAAUGAGAUAUAUAAAAGUAGGAUGCUAUAUUUUGUGUUUUAUUGUGGAAGUUUGCAGAUUUCAAGUUAGGGAGGUUGUUGUUAUGGAGGUACACAAACAUCCCUUGUAUUUCAUGUUGUAUUUGCUCAUAUUUUUUUAUGUUGUGGAGAAGUUUUCACCCUUGCAUUGCUAUAGAUGAAGUUGUUAAUGGCAUGAAUGUCCAAUAAUUUGAGUUUUCUUCAUUAAAAGUUAUUUGAGAUUUUGAAUCCUAAGUUUUCUUGUUUUUGUAGGCAUACACUGAAUUAGCCACAAAGGGUAAAUAGAGGUCAGAGGUGUGACAUUAAUAAAUUUAAGAAUGUUUUUAUGUUUAAUGAACUAGGUAUACAACUUUUAGAUUGUAUAGACUGUAGUCUGAAUUCUGAAAGAAUAUUAAUGUUUUUAUGUUUAAUGAACUAAAUGGUUAUUGUAAUUUUUUUCUGUUUCUUAAAAUGAAAACAUGAUCAAUGAUGUCCCACUUCUUAUGAUUGGAAUGGAAUCAUAUAGUAGGUUUGUAUUUUAUAGAGAUUGAUCAAUUGGUUACAAUUCACAUGGUAAAAGCUUUGCAGAAAUUAAAGAGUUUGUUUCAGUUGGAAUAGUUGGAAUGGUGAUCCAUGUGUUCCGCAGCAUCCAUGGAGUGGAAUUGGCUGAUUAAUAAGGCUGGAAUGCAAAGCCAGAAUGGGCUGGAAAGGCUGCUUGAAAGGCUGGAAUAAGGCUGGAAUGCAAAGCAUCAAGUACGGUUGUUUAUUGGUGUAUUAGAUGUGUAUAUAUGACGUAUUAGAUGAUACUUGAGACAUCAAGUACGGUUGUUUUGGUGUAUUAGAAGUUUAUAUAUGGCGUACUAGAUGAUUGUAUGGGAUGGUAUAGGAUACAUAUAAUACGGUUAAAUAGCCGUACUUUAUUAUGCAUGUAAUCUAAUACACCCCUCUACUAGUACGCCUGCUAUGUACGUACUAUAUUCAUAAUUUCAACCGUACUCUAUUAACCUUUUUCUA
Lactuca sativa (garden lettuce) is the source of this 2733-nucleotide non-coding RNA. NCBI's taxonomy places the organism in Eukaryota, Viridiplantae, Streptophyta, Magnoliopsida, Asterales, Asteraceae. The record is from RefSeq and is a predicted model, not a curated record.